Molecule: long non-coding RNA, 655 nt
Organism: Alnus glutinosa
Lineage: Eukaryota; Viridiplantae; Streptophyta; Magnoliopsida; Fagales; Betulaceae
Exons: 5
Source: RefSeq, a predicted model, not a curated record
CUCUCUCUCUCGCUUAGCGUCGCCGGCCGUCCCUCUCCAAGCCUGUUCUGUCUUCGACAGUUUCUCUCCGGCUGUCUCUCUCUCCAGUGUUCUCCGUCGAUCUUAUUCUCUCUCUCUCUCUCUCUGCGCAUUUUGAUGGAAUUGAAAUCUCGAUGUAACCAGGAAACGAAAAGGAAGAGGAAAAUCUGAGAGGUUCCUUCGUUUCUGUCAUCCACUUACUCUCUCUCUCUCUCUCUCUCUCUCUCUCUCUCUCUCUGUAAGAUUUUUAAAAAGUGGGCUUUCUAGGCACGAUGGAUCUUAUGGAAAAGGAAUCAUUGUGCGUGGGUAUGAUGAGUGAGAACAGUAAGUGCUCCUUUGAUUGCAAGACCACAAAGACCCCCUUGUGGAGAGGUUCUGUUGUGUCUUUGAAGAAAAAUACAAGAGGAGAGAUUGUUGCAGAACUAGAAGAGGCCAACAUGAAGUUCUUGCUUCAGGCCCAAUUGAGGACUUGAUAGCUCACCGUGAGCAUAGAAUCAAUUGAAGCACUGACAAAUCUAGAUUUAAGACUUGGAGCCUAUACAAAUCAUGGUUGGUUAAAUUUUUCCACGUAGAGAUUUAAUUAAUGUAGUGAGGAUGGGUGGAUUUAAAUUUAUUACUAUUAUUAUUAUUAUUCAUU